This is a long non-coding RNA of Engraulis encrasicolus (European anchovy), 720 nucleotides long. RefSeq lists it as uncharacterized. Lineage: Eukaryota; Metazoa; Chordata; Actinopteri; Clupeiformes; Engraulidae. The transcript is spliced from 3 exons. The record is from RefSeq and is a predicted model, not a curated record.
CCAUCACCAGAGGGGCCGGGAUUGCUGCGGCAGCUAGCCAAUUAAAGGAGGAGGAUGAAGGAGAGGAGUCUGACGAUGCAGACAUCGCCAUCGUAUGCAGGCCACGCCCUCGCAGGAAAACCAGCCAAUGAAAACGCUCGCAGCAGCAUCAGCAGAACACACCGGCACGACUGACAGGGCUUCUGAAGCAUGCAGUGGAAGAGCUGUCAGUCAAGCUAAAGGUCCCGCCCUCCAACCUGCUGCUGCUGCACGGAGAGGCGGAACUCACACACUAUUGGCCAGCUAGGACUCUGCAUCGCUGACAUCAUUGUCUGGAACCAACUUCACAUCCCUCUUCACUGCACUACUGACACUGAGAUGGAAUCCACAACCCAACCACUAGUGGUCUGCAUUGGGAAUCUGAAGAGUCUGUCAUCACCGCCAGGAAUGACCGCGUGACCAUUCCCGUUGCAGACGGCCUGACUUGCACAAUUGACAAGCUGUUCAACUGGGUCUGCAACUUGUCAUAUCCAGCACAGCUCAGCUCUGUUUUCACCUUCUUUGAAUAUGUUUAUGACGUUCCAUCUCAACCAACAAACGACCAAAGGUACUAGAACUUCUCUCAAAGCUUCCCAGCAACCCAGUGAUCACUCAACAUGUGUUUAUGCCCAAAAUGUAAAUAGUUACUACAGACAUCAAGAAAGUAGUUUGGCAUCUUUGUCAAGUACACACUUUGUCAGA